GAUGAACGCUGGCGGCGUGCCUAGUACAUGCAAGUCGAGCGAACCGAUUAAGAGCUUGCUCUUAAGAAGUUAGCGGCGGACGGGUGAGUAACACGUAGGUAACCUGCCUAUAAGACUGGGAUAACUCCGGGAAACCGGGGCUAAUACCGGAUAACAUUUUGCACUGCAUGGUGCGAAAUUGAAAGGCGGCUUCGGCUGUCACUUAUAGAUGGACCUGCGGCGCAUUAGCUAGUUGGUGAGGUAACGGCUCACCAAGGCGACGAUGCGUAGCCGACCUGAGAGGGUGAUCGGCCACACGGGGACGGAGACAGGGCCCAGGCUCCUACGGGAGGCAGCAUUAGGGAAUCUUCCGCAAUGGACGAAAGUGUGACGGAGCAACGCCGCGUGAGCGGUGAAGGCCUUCGGGUCGUAAAGCUCUGUUGUUAGGGAAGAACAAGUGCUAGUUGAAUAAGCUGGCACCUUGACGGUACCUAACCAGAAAGCCACGGCUAACUACGUGCCAGCAGCCGCAGUAA
RNAcentral lists this ribosomal RNA (515 nucleotides) under uncultured bacterium. RNAcentral describes it as "partial 16S ribosomal RNA". It matches the Rfam family "Bacterial small subunit ribosomal RNA", at positions 28 to 523 of the family's 1533-position model. The record is from RNAcentral.